GACGAACGCUGGCGGCGUGCCUAAUACAUGCAAGUAGAACGCUGAAGGAGGAGCUUGCUUCUCUGGAUGAGUUGCGAACGGGUGAGUAACGCGUAGGUAACCUGCCUGGUAGCGGGGGAUAACUAUUGGAAACGAUAGCUAAUACCGCAUAAGAGUAGAUGUUGCAUGACAUUUGCUUAAAAGGUGCAAUUGCAUCACUACCAGAUGGACCUGCGUUGUAUUAGCUAGUUGGUGGGGUAACGGCUUACCAAGGCGACGAUACAUAGCCGACCUGAGAGGGUGAUCGGCCACACUGGGACUGAGACACGGCCCAGAGUCCUACGGGAGGCAGCAGUAGGGAAUCUUCGGCAAUGGACGGAAGUCUGACCGAGCAACGCCGCGUGAGUGAAGAAGGUUUUCGGAUCGUAAAGCUCUGUUGUAAGAGAAGAACGAGUGUGAGAGUGGAAAGUUCACACUGUGACGGUAUCUUAACAGAAAGGGACGGCUAACUACGUG
Molecule: ribosomal RNA, 495 nt
Filed under: uncultured bacterium
Lineage: Bacteria
Description: partial 16S ribosomal RNA
Rfam family: Bacterial small subunit ribosomal RNA
Source: RNAcentral